Molecule: long non-coding RNA, 694 nt
Filed under: Homo sapiens (human)
Lineage: Eukaryota; Metazoa; Chordata; Mammalia; Primates; Hominidae
Description: HSALNT0382322
Source: RNAcentral
GCAGCCGUCGCCAGCCUCGGCUCGACCCGGCUCGGAGGCCUGGCCGCUCUAGCCCCCGACUCGAAGGCUCCGGGGCACCAGCCCUCUCCGCUCCGGCGGGCGCCGCGGCCUAGGAGACUAGUUCCGGGAGGGCCGAGGGGACGAGCCUGGCCCGGCCCGCCUCCCGCCGUGUCGCGGCGCACGUAGGUCCCCCGACCUGACAGGUGCGCGGCCCGGGCCGGCUGGGCUCUCAGAGCCGAGAGGUGGGGCCCCGACCUGGCCGUGGGGCUGGGCCCGCUCCGUCGCCCCGACCCCGCGUGGUCCGCCAACUCCCUCCUGCGCGCGGAGAGGACGGGCAUUGUUCUCGGGGCCCCGGAGAGCGCGAGAGCGGCCUGAGCCUGGAGGCCAUCCUGCCUGAGAUUCUACCCUUAGAGCUUCAUUCUUUUGUGACUUUCACACCUUUCAGAAACUUGGAGAAAGAUCUGCCCCCAGGUGAGGUUUGGGUAACUCCUCCACUCCCAUCCCCACCUCAGAGGAGGCUUGCUCCACCUCCACUGCCCCUCAGGCCCAAGCUCCUGUCUGGGUCCUCAGCCUCUGUGGAGUUGAGGUCUGUAGCAUAUCUCAAGGGCACUGGGGAGGUGCCGCUGCCCUGCAUCCUCCCAAACCCCACAGCUCCUCUCACCCCUUUUGGUCUCCCUUUUGCCCCCCACCUCCA